RNAcentral lists this ribosomal RNA (253 nucleotides) under uncultured bacterium. RNAcentral describes it as "partial 16S ribosomal RNA". It matches the Rfam family "Bacterial small subunit ribosomal RNA", at positions 524 to 776 of the family's 1533-position model. The record is from RNAcentral.
UACGAAGGGGGCUAGCGUUGCUCGGAAUCACUGGGCGUAAAGGGUGCGUAGGCGGGUCUUUAAGUCAGGGGUGAAAUCCUGGAGCUCAACUCCAGAACUGCCUUUGAUACUGAAGAUCUUGAGUCCGGGAGAGGUGAGUGGAACUGCGAGUGUAGAGAUGAAAUUCGUAGAUAUUCGCAAGAACACCAGUGGCGAAGGCGGCUCACUGGCCCGGUACUGACGCUGAGGCACGAAAGCGUGGGGAGCAAACAGG